Long non-coding RNA from Myiozetetes cayanensis, 892 nucleotides. RefSeq lists it as uncharacterized. The record is from RefSeq and is a predicted model, not a curated record. The transcript has 4 exons. NCBI's taxonomy places the organism in Eukaryota, Metazoa, Chordata, Aves, Passeriformes, Tyrannidae.
AGUACUGGAAAAGCCUCAGCUGGACUCCUCUGGCACUGCAGUUCAAGAGGACGUGGAGCAGCUGGAAAGAGCGCAAAGAGAAGCAUCAAGAGUGAUUAGAGGUCUCAGAUGUGACCAAGGAGCUCAGUCUUCACAAAAACAAGCUUGCAGAUGACACAGAACUGGGAGGAGCUGUUGACUUCUUCAAAGACAGGGAGGCCCUGCAGAGAGACGUGGACAAAUGAGAGGGCUGGGCAAUCACCAGCUGUGUGAAGUUCAACAAGGGAAGUGCCGGAUUCUGCACCUGGGAUGGGACAACCCUGGAGGUACAGACAGACUGGGGACUGAGAUGCUGGAAAGCAGUGCCGUGGAAAGGGACCUGGCGGUCCUGGUCAGUGAUUGAUUUCCAAAGACGAUUUCCACCUUGAUCCAAAUUAUAUUUUCUGCUGUUGAAGGUGUUGAGCAGAGAUGUUCUUCACAGUGCUAACAGAGCUGACCUCACGCUCACAGGCGCAGCCCAAAGUGAUCACUGGGAUCAGUGAAGUCUGAGCGAGUUUAAGUGAGUAUUUAUCUGCAUAUCUAACCAGCUUCAGGAUUGUGCUGAGGACCCUGCUGCCAAAGGUUGUGUUGACCCAGAAAGGAACUGGAGUAGAUCCAAACACCUUUGAAUCCAGCUCUCUGAUGUAUCCAGAUUAAUAGGGCAGCUGCAGCAAUGGUGAGUUUUGAACACACAGUUUUUCAUUCUUGGUUUAAUAUCUGUGCUUGACACUGUGAUACUCAUCUCUUGCACAGUUUUGUGUUUUAUGGUGUUUCUCUUGCCCUUUACUGCACAGUGUUAUAACCCUUGGGUCAGUGUCUGUAGACAAGGGUAUGCAGAAGAUCUCGAGCAGCAAGAGGAGGACUUGUUUCUCUU